RNAcentral lists this ribosomal RNA (600 nucleotides) under Kocuria sp. RNAcentral's name for it is "bacterial SSU rRNA". It matches the Rfam family "Bacterial small subunit ribosomal RNA", at positions 144 to 756 of the family's 1533-position model. Lineage: Bacteria; Bacillati; Actinomycetota; Actinomycetes; Micrococcales; Micrococcaceae. The record is from RNAcentral.
UAAGCCCGGGAAACUGGGUCUAAUACUGGAUGCUACAUGUCACCGCAUGGUGGUGUGUGGAAAGGGUUUACUGGUCUUGGAUGGGCUCACGGCCUAUCAGCUUGUUGGUGAGGUAAUGGCUCACCAAGGCGACGACGGGUAGCCGGCCUGAGAGGGUGACCGGCCACACUGGGACUGAGACACGGCCCAGACUCCUACGGGAGGCAGCAGUGGGGAAUAUUGCACAAUGGGCGAAAGCCUGAUGCAGCGACGCCGCGUGAGGGAUGACGGCCUUCGGGUUGUAAACCUCUUUCAGCAGGGAAGAAGCCACAAGUGACGGUACCUGCAGAAGAAGCGCCGGCUAACUACGUGCCAGCAGCCGCGGUAAUACGUAGGGCGCAAGCGUUGUCCGGAAUUAUUGGGCGUAAAGAGCUCGUAGGCGGUUUGUCGCGUCUGCUGUGAAAGCCCGGGGCUUAACCCCGGGUGUGCAGUGGGUACGGGCAGACUAGAGUGCAGUAGGGGAGACUGGAAUUCCUGGUGUAGCGGUGGAAUGCGCAGAUAUCAGGAGGAACACCGAUGGCGAAGGCAGGUCUCUGGGCUGUUACUGACGCUGAGGAGCGA